AAGCCAGCUUGACUGCGAGCGUGACGGCGCGAGCAGGUGCGAAAGCAGGUCAUAGUGAUCCGGUGGUUCUGAAUGGAAGGGCCAUCGCUCAACGGAUAAAAGGUACUCCGGGGAUAACAGGCUGAUACCGCCCAAGAGUUCAUAUCGACGGCGGUGUUUGGCACCUCGAUGUCGGCUCAUCACAUCCUGGGGCUGAAGUAGGUCCCAAGGGUAUGGCUGUUCGCCAUUUAAAGUGGUACGCGAGCUGGGUUUAGAACGUCGUGAGACAGUUCGGUCCCUAUCUGCCGUGGGCGCUGGAGAACUGAGGGGGGCUGCUCCUAGUACGAGAGGACCGGAGUGGACGCAUCACUGGUGUUCGGGUUGUCAUGCCAAUGGCACUGCCCGGUAGCUAAAUGCGGAAGA
This 402-nucleotide ribosomal RNA is filed under the name Salmonella enterica subsp. enterica serovar Durham. Its description in RNAcentral is "partial 23S ribosomal RNA". It matches the Rfam family "Bacterial large subunit ribosomal RNA", at positions 2361 to 2762 of the family's 2925-position model. The record is from RNAcentral. Lineage: Bacteria; Pseudomonadati; Pseudomonadota; Gammaproteobacteria; Enterobacterales; Enterobacteriaceae.